CUACGCCCACGAGGUUGUGCUACAGCUGGCCAGCGGGGAGCAGCUAAGGGCCCGAGCUUAGCAGAAGGGAGAAGCAGAGAGAGCAAAUUCAGGCUAUGGAGACUGAAUCUUCCUCGGUACAAAGGCUUCAGACAGAGGCUUUGUGCCUCUCCCCACCCCCACUGGACUGAGCCUGUUGAAGUUCUGGAAUGUUCCUCCCCACAUUGGACUGCGUCCCUUGAAGUUCUGGAAUCCCUGCCCCGCUGUGCCUGUUGAAGUUCUAGAAUGUUCCUGGACAACACAUUUACUAAUGAGCAGAGCAGAAUGCAUUUGAAAUGAUCUAUGAGAUCUGAAGAGUCUUCUACGUUGGGAUAAACACCAAAGUACUUCUUCUUCUUAAUUCCCUUAUUAUUGGUUUUCUGUUGGGAGUUAUGUGACCAGUGUUGGCCUCAGAGGAUGUCACAGUGUGUUUAGAGCUACAAAUUAGAUAAGGUGUUAUCAUCAUCUAACCUGGCUAAUGCUGUGCUCACUGAAAAAUUGUAGUUUCCAUGGCAAUACUGAAAAUGGCUUUGCUGUUCACCAGCAAGUAAAAUAUAAGACAUUGCUUUUAACUAUUUGGACUUUGGAGAGCUCUAAAUAAAACUGCUUGUAGUGUU
This is a long non-coding RNA of Chinchilla lanigera (long-tailed chinchilla), 635 nucleotides long. RefSeq lists it as uncharacterized. The record is from RefSeq and is a predicted model, not a curated record. The transcript is spliced from 3 exons. Lineage: Eukaryota; Metazoa; Chordata; Mammalia; Rodentia; Chinchillidae.